This 244-nucleotide unclassified non-coding RNA is filed under the name Borreliella afzelii. The record is from RNAcentral. Lineage: Bacteria; Pseudomonadati; Spirochaetota; Spirochaetia; Spirochaetales; Borreliaceae.
UGAGUUCGCGGGAGAGUAAGUUAUUGCCAGGGUUUUUAUUUUAUACUUUAAACCUUGAAUUUAUUUUUUAAAUGUUUAAUAUUAUUUGAAUAAAACAUUCAAAUAAUAUAAAAAAUAAUAUAUAUAUUGACAUGGAUUAAACAAAGAUAUAUAUUAUUCUAUGUUGUAUAAACAAAUUGGCAAAAUAGAGAUGGAAGAUAAAAAUAUGGUCAAAGUAAUAAGAGUCUAUGGUGAAUGCCUAGGA